CCUACGGGAGGCUGCAGUCGAGAAUCAUACACAAUGGGGGAAACCCUGAUGGGGCGACGCCGCGUGGGGGAAUGAAGGUCUCCGGAUUGUAAACCCCUGUCAUGUGGGAGCAAAUUAAAAAGAUAGUACCACAAGAGGAAGAGACGGCCAACUCUGUGCCAGCAGCCGCGGUAAUACAGAGGUCUCAAGCGUUGUUCGGGAUCACUGGGCGUAAAGCGUACGUAGGAUGUUUCGUAAGUCGUGUGUGAAAGGCGCGGGCUCAACCCACGGACGGCACAUGAUACUGCGAGACUAGAGUAAUGGAGGGGGAACCGGAAUGCUCGGUGUAGCAGGGAAAGGCGUAGAUAUCGAGAGGAACACUCGGGGCGAAGGCGGGUUCCGGGACAUGAACGGACGCUGAGGCACGAAGGCCAGGGGAGCGAAAGGGAUUAGAUACCCGUGUAGUC
This 446-nucleotide ribosomal RNA is filed under the name uncultured bacterium. RNAcentral's name for it is "partial 16S ribosomal RNA". It matches the Rfam family "Bacterial small subunit ribosomal RNA", at positions 338 to 795 of the family's 1533-position model. The record is from RNAcentral.